RNAcentral lists this ribosomal RNA (403 nucleotides) under uncultured bacterium. RNAcentral describes it as "partial 16S ribosomal RNA". It matches the Rfam family "Bacterial small subunit ribosomal RNA", at positions 28 to 526 of the family's 1533-position model. The record is from RNAcentral.
GUCGCACGCUGGCGGCAGGCCUAACACAUGCAAGUCGAACGAGCGGCGGACGGGUGAGUAAUGUAUGGGGACUGCCCGAUAGAGGGGGAUAACUACUGGAAACGGUGGCUAAUACCGCAUACCAUCGGCUAACCCCUAUGGGAUUAGCUAGUAGGUAAGGUAACGGCUUACCUAGGCGACGAUCCCUAGCUGGUCUGAGAGGAUGAUCAGCCACACUGGGACUGAGACACGGCCCAGACUCCUACGGAGGCAGCAGUGGGGAAUAUUGCACAAUGGGCGCAAGCCUGAUGCAGCCAUGCCGCGUGUAUGAAGAAGGCCCUAGGGUUGUAAAGUACUUUCAGUCGGGAGGCGUUACCGGCAGAAGAAGCACCGGCUAACUCCGUGCCAGCAGCCGCGGUAAUAC